CAAAAAACAACUUUCUUAAAAUUAAAAAUUGAAAUUUUUUUAAUUUGUGUAAAAACAAUUAUAAAAAUUAAAGACAAGAAGACCCUAAGAAUUUUUAAAAUUUAAAUAAUACAUUUUUUGUUUUAAUUAAAUUUUAACUGGGGCGGUUAAAAAAUAUUAAAAACUUUUUAAUUUAAAAAUGACCCAUUAUUAAUGAAAAUAUGAUUAAAUACUCUAGGGAUAACAGCGUUAUAUUUUUUGAUAGAUCAUAUUGACAAAA
RNAcentral lists this ribosomal RNA (259 nucleotides) under Rhipicephalus microplus (southern cattle tick). Its description in RNAcentral is "partial large subunit ribosomal RNA". RNAcentral also lists the same sequence under 2 other names. Lineage: Eukaryota; Metazoa; Arthropoda; Arachnida; Ixodida; Ixodidae. The record is from RNAcentral.